GGAUUAGAUACCCGGGUAGUCCACGCCCUAAACUAUGUCAACUGGUUGUCGGAGGAGCAAUCCUUUGGUAACGAAGCUAACGCGUGAAGUUGACCGCCUGGGGAGUACGGCCGCAAGGUUAAAACUCAAAGGAAUUGACGGGGACCCGCACAAGCGGUGGAUUAUGUGGAUUAAUUCGAUGCAACGCGAAAAACCUUACCUACCCUUGACAUGUACGGAAUCUCGCAGAGAUGUGAGAGUGCUCGAAAGAGAACCGUAACACAGGUGCUGCAUGGCUGUCGUCAGCUCGUGUCGUGAGAUGUUGGGUUAAGUCCCGCAACGAGCGCAACCCUUGCCAUUAGUUGCUACAUUGAGUUGGGCACUCUAGUGGGACUGCCGGUGACAAACCGGAGGA
Molecule: ribosomal RNA, 394 nt
Filed under: uncultured bacterium
Lineage: Bacteria
Description: bacterial SSU rRNA
Rfam family: Bacterial small subunit ribosomal RNA
Source: RNAcentral